RNAcentral lists this non-coding RNA (117 nucleotides) under Pan troglodytes (chimpanzee). Lineage: Eukaryota; Metazoa; Chordata; Mammalia; Primates; Hominidae. The record is from Rfam by way of RNAcentral.
GCUGGGUGCGGUGGCUCACACCUGUAAUCCCAGCACUUUGGGAGGCCGAGGCGGGUGGAUCACUUGAGGUCAGGAAUUCGAGACCAGCCUGGCCAACACAGUGAAACCCCGUCUCUA